RNAcentral lists this ribosomal RNA (253 nucleotides) under uncultured bacterium. RNAcentral's name for it is "partial 16S ribosomal RNA". It matches the Rfam family "Bacterial small subunit ribosomal RNA", at positions 524 to 776 of the family's 1533-position model. The record is from RNAcentral.
UACGUAGGGUGCGAGCGUUAAUCGGAAUUGCUGGGCGGAAAGCGUGCGCAGGCGGUUCGUUGUGUCGGCGGUGAAAGCCCCGGGCUUAACCUGGGAACUGCAUUUGUGACUGCAUCGCUGGAGUGCGGCAGAGGGGGAUGGAAUUCCGAGUGUAGAGGUGAAAUUUGUAGAUAUUCGGAGGAACACCAGAAGCGAAGGCGGCCAACUGGCCCGAUACUGACGCUGAGGCGCGAAAGCGUGGGGAGCAAACAGG